RNAcentral lists this ribosomal RNA (406 nucleotides) under uncultured bacterium. RNAcentral's name for it is "partial 16S ribosomal RNA". It matches the Rfam family "Bacterial small subunit ribosomal RNA", at positions 30 to 526 of the family's 1533-position model. The record is from RNAcentral.
AUUGAACGCUGGCGGCAGGCCUAACACAUGCAAGUCGAACGAGUGGCGGACGGGUGAGUAAUGUCUGGGAAACUGCCUGAUGGAGGGGGAUAACUACUGGAAACGGUAGCUAAUACCGCAUACCAUCAGAUGUGCCCACAUGGGAUUUGCUUGUUGGUGGGGUACCGGCUCACCACGGCGACGAUCCCUAGCUGGUCUGAGAGGAUGACCGGCAACACUGGAACUGAGACACGGACCAGACUCCUACGGGAGGCAGCAGUGGGGAAUAUUGCGCAAGGGGCGCAAGCCUGAUGCAGCCAUGCGGCGUGUAUGAAGAAGGCCUUCGGGUUGUAAAGUACUUUCAGCGGGGAGGCGUUACCCGCAGAAGAAGCACCGGCUAACUCCGUGCCAGCAGCCGCGGUAAUAC